Molecule: ribosomal RNA, 104 nt
Filed under: Amanita muscaria (fly agaric)
Lineage: Eukaryota; Fungi; Basidiomycota; Agaricomycetes; Agaricales; Amanitaceae
Also listed under: 1 other name
Description: 5.8S ribosomal RNA
Rfam family: 5.8S ribosomal RNA
About the family: 5.8S ribosomal RNA (5.8S rRNA) is a component of the large subunit of the eukaryotic ribosome. It is transcribed by RNA polymerase I as part of the 45S precursor that also contains 18S and 28S rRNA.
Source: RNAcentral
CAACUUUCAACAACGGAUCUCUUGGCUCUCGCAUCGAUGAAGAACGCAGCGAAAUGCGAUAAGUAAUGUGAAUUGCAGAAUUCAGUGAAUCAUCGAAUCUUUGA